RNAcentral lists this ribosomal RNA (254 nucleotides) under uncultured bacterium. RNAcentral's name for it is "partial 16S ribosomal RNA". It matches the Rfam family "Bacterial small subunit ribosomal RNA", at positions 524 to 776 of the family's 1533-position model. The record is from RNAcentral.
UACGUAGGGGGCGAGCGUUGUCCGAAGUUACUGGGCGUAAAGCGCGCGUAGGCGGUUUCUUAAGUCUGGGGUGAAAGGUUCAGCGCUCAACGUGAACAGUGCCUUGGAGACUGGGAGACUUGAGUGUGGCAGAGGAGCAUGGAAUUCCUGGUGUAGCGGUGAAAUGCGUAGAGAUCAGGAGGAAUACCGAUGGCGAAGGCAGUGCUCUGGGCUAACACUGACGCUGAGGUGCGAAAGCGUGGGGAGCGAACGGG